GAUGAAGAACGUAGCGAAAUGCGAUAACUAAUGUGAAUUGCAGAAUUCCGUGAAUCAUCGAGUCUUUGAACGCACAUUGCGCCCCCUGGUAUUCCGGGGGGCAUGCCUGUCCGAGCGUCAUUGCUGCCCAUCAAGCACGGCUUGUGUGUUGGGUCCUCGUCCCCCCCGGGGGACGUGCCCGAAACGCAGCGGCGGCACCGCGUCCGGUCCUCGAGCGUAUGGGGCUUUGUCACCCGCUCUGCAGGCCCGGCCGGCGCUGGCCGACGCGAAAGCAACCAUUUUUUCUCCAGGUUGACCUCGGAUCAGGUAGGGAUACCCGCUGAACUUAAGCAUAUCAAUAAGCGGAGGA
This 349-nucleotide unclassified non-coding RNA is filed under the name soil metagenome. RNAcentral's name for it is "partial contains 5.8S ribosomal RNA, internal transcribed spacer 2, and large subunit ribosomal RNA". The stretch from base 1 to 120 matches the Rfam family "5.8S ribosomal RNA", at positions 35 to 154 of the family's 154-position model. The record is from RNAcentral.